Molecule: ribosomal RNA, 506 nt
Filed under: uncultured bacterium
Lineage: Bacteria
Description: partial 16S ribosomal RNA
Rfam family: Bacterial small subunit ribosomal RNA
Source: RNAcentral
AUUGAACGCUGGCGGCAGGCCUAACACAUGCAAGUCGAACGGUAACAGAAAGCAGCUUGCUGCUUUGCUGACGAGUGGCGGACGGGUGAGUAAUGUCUGGGAAACUGCCUGAUGGAGGGGGAUAACUACUGGAAACGGUAGCUAAUACCGCAUAACGUCGCAAGACCAAAGAGGGGGACCUUCGGGCCUCUUGCCAUCGGAUGUGCCCAGAUGGGAUUAGCUAGUAGGUGGGGUAAUGGCUCACCUAGGCGACGAUACCUAGCUGGUCUGAGAGGAUGACCAGCCACACUGGAACUGAGACACGGUCCAGACUCCUACGGGAGGCAGCAGUGGGGAAUAUUGCACAAUGGGCGCAAGCCUGAUGCAGCCAUGCCGCGUGUAUGAAGAAGGCCUUCGGGUUGUAAAGUACUUUCAGCGAGGAGGAAGGUGUUGUGGUUAAUAACCACAGCAGUUGACGUUACUCGCAGAAGAAGCACCGGCUAACUCCGUGCCAGCCGCCGCGGUAA